UACGGAGGGAGCUAGCGUUGUUCGGAAUUACUGGGCGUAAAGCGCACGUAGGCGGCUUUGUAAGUUAGGGGUGAAAGCCCGGGGCUCAACCCCGGAAUUGCCUUUAAGACUGCAUCGCUUGAAUCCAGGAGAGGUGAGUGGAAUUCCGAGUGUAGAGGUGAAAUUCGUAGAUAUUCGGAAGAACACCAGUGGCGAAGGCGGCGCACUGGACUGGUAUUGACGCUGAGGUGCGAAAGCGUGGGGAGCAAACAGG
RNAcentral lists this ribosomal RNA (253 nucleotides) under uncultured bacterium. RNAcentral's name for it is "partial 16S ribosomal RNA". It matches the Rfam family "Bacterial small subunit ribosomal RNA", at positions 524 to 776 of the family's 1533-position model. The record is from RNAcentral.